GGCGGUUCGCGGGUGACGCACCCCACAAUCGGUCUCCCUCCUCUCUGGUUCUGGGUGUGUCACCUGAGAACCACA
Non-coding RNA from Myotis brandtii (Brandt's bat), 75 nucleotides. The record is from Rfam. NCBI's taxonomy places the organism in Eukaryota, Metazoa, Chordata, Mammalia, Chiroptera, Vespertilionidae.